AUGAAGGGACCGCUUGAGAAGAGAAUCCAAUUCCAAGACCAUCAGCCCGUGAUAUAUAUUGUGUCGAUGGUGAUGAAUAGAGAGUGCGGGCCGGGCUUUGAAACCGAAGCUAGUCGUCGUCCCCAAACAAACAACAAGUGGAGGAGGGAGGGGAGGAAACCAGGCCUAGGGUUGAAGAAGAAAAAGUCUUUGGAACUGGGACCCGUCUGGUGGGAUGUUUGCAAACAACAGAGCGAAGAAGAAGAAGAAGAUGCCGUAGGUUCGGGGGACAAGAAGGAAACCAGACUUGAAGACGCUGGAUGGAUGCGCACCGGUUUCUGUAGAGAAUGCCGCUCCUGUCGAGGCUAG
RNAcentral lists this ribosomal RNA (348 nucleotides) under Triticum aestivum (bread wheat). RNAcentral's name for it is "partial small subunit ribosomal RNA". Lineage: Eukaryota; Viridiplantae; Streptophyta; Magnoliopsida; Poales; Poaceae. The record is from RNAcentral.